This 466-nucleotide ribosomal RNA is filed under the name uncultured bacterium. RNAcentral describes it as "bacterial SSU rRNA". It matches the Rfam family "Bacterial small subunit ribosomal RNA", at positions 28 to 507 of the family's 1533-position model. The record is from RNAcentral.
GAUGAACGCUGGCGGCGUGCCUAACACAUGCAAGUCGAACGUGAGGGGGUAGCAAUAUCCUUGAAAGUGGCGCACGGGUGAGUAAGACGUAGGUGACCUGCCCUGGAGUGGGGGAUAACAGUUGGAAACAGCUGCUAAUACCCCAUAAGCCGAGAGGUAAAAGGAUCAAUCCGGCAGAGGAGGUACUCGCGUCCUAUCAGCUAGUAGGUGAGGUAACGGCUCACCUAGGCGAAGACGGGUAGCCGGCCUGAGAGGGCGAACGGCCACACUGGAACUGAGAUACGGUCCAGACUCCUACGGGAGGCAGCAGUGGGGAAUAUUGGGCAAUGGGGGAGACCCUGACCCAGCGACGCCGCGUGCAGGAAGACGGCCCUAUGGGUUGUAAACUGCUUUUCCAGGGAGAGAAACUUACGCACGUGUUGCGUGACUGACGGUACCCUGGGAAUAAGCAUCGGCUAACUCCGUG